AAUUAACAGUAUUUUAUUAAAGUAAGCAAAACAAUACAGUCAAACAAAUAAGUUAUUUAAAUAGAACUCAUUUAUGCCUGUAGUUAAAAAAAAAAAAAGAUACAAAACUAGCUGGCUCAUUUAUAUGAAUGAGUUUAGCAUCAUCCAAAUUUAUUUUAACAGUGUUUAUAAACAUACGGACAUUUUACUUUACAAGAAGAGAACAUUCUUACUCAUGUGAACUGUACCUGGAAAAAAAGUUUGCCCAAUGCUAUCUUUAACUUAUACAUAAACAUUUUUGGAGAAAAAACCCCAAUCUUCAAGGGCAAUGGACUCAUCGAGUUUCCAAGGACAACACUGAAGAUAUAGCUCAUUAUUAUACAUAGCGUUAAAGGGAUAGUCUAAGCACCAUAACAACUUUAGCUUUAUGAAACAGUUUUAAUUAAUUCUUAAUUCUCUGCCCAUUAGGAGUAAAAUCACUUUGUUUAGGCAGCCCUAGCUGGACAUCGACUUGCUGUGACUCACACAGAAUCCAUGACAAAAAAUGGUUUAAUUUUCAAGCAGAUAUUACAUCCCAAUGUGUUUACUUUAGCAGUUCUUAACUCCUGCUCUGUAAAUGGAACAUUAGUCACACACACAAAGUUCCUACAGGCUCUAGCAGGCAGCUAAUGGAAAUUCUAAAUGAAACACACUGUUUAAUAAAAUAAAUUUAAAAAUUAGAUCUCUCUUUAUAGGAAGUGUGUAGGGAGGAGAUGUGUUGUUUUUCGCACAACCUUAUUAGAAAAUUGUAAAAAAAAUCAGAAUGGCAAAAAUUUGUGCAUAUGUUGGUUCGGCUCAUCAGAAUUUUUUCCCCAAAAGAAGAUUUGGGAAGAUGAAUCACACAAACCAAAAGGGUGCAAAAAUCUGCAAAAAAAAGUGUACUGCAAAAUAUAUACAUACUAUUACAUUUUCCUGCCACUUGGUUCACAGAACAAGCGAGAAAAAGUAGCCAAUAGGGGGAACAAGAAGAGGGCUAGUAAACAUAUAGUAUAUAAAUAUAUAUCUUUACUGCUUCUCCUUUGUUUUGCCUCUAUUGUCCACUUCCCAUUUGAUCUGUGGAUAAAAACAUUAAUGGCUGUCCCAUAGCUAUCAAUCACCUUUGUUAGUCCAGCCACCAUUUUAUCCCAUUAAUCACCUCUUUUUUUAGAGUUAUGGGCAAAGAAUCUAGCUAUAUCUAUCUAUGUAUGUAUCUAUCUAUGUAUCUAUCUAUCUACCUAUAAAUCUAUUAAAUCUAUCAACCUCUACCUCUUUUGCGGUUUGUAUAUGCAGUAUCUGUUUCUAUAUCUAACAAUGUAUUGACUACUAAACAGCUGAAUGAAGAAACAACCCUCUCCCAAUCUUCGUAUAUAGCAAUUAUUUGCACCACCACCACUUUGCAUACCAGCUGAAAAUUACUCUAUAUGUAUCAAAAAAUCUGUAAAUUAAUGUUUCUUGAUUAAAUGCAUUGGUAGCAUUAAAUGCACUGAUCAUUUAAAAAAAAUCAUCUUUUUACUUUUUUCUUUAUGUUCUUUAUGAAUAUUUAAUAUACCUGUAUGU
This 1554-nucleotide long non-coding RNA is filed under the name Pelobates cultripes (western spadefoot toad). The record is from RNAcentral. Lineage: Eukaryota; Metazoa; Chordata; Amphibia; Anura; Pelobatidae.